AAUAUCAAUUAUUAUUAAUAUAAAAAACAUUCACAUUUGUGAUCAACAUCAACAUUCAAUAAAAAUAACAUUCCUAAUCUCGCGAGUGAAUAUUUAAUUUCUAGCCACGGGUUUCCAUAUAAAUAUGACUUUACGUUUGAAGUUGGAAAUUCCAUUAUUUAGAAACUUUAUCACGCAUUUCAUGAGAUAUAAAAAUUCUCUAAUAUAUACUUUUUAAUUUCCAUUUUAAAUUAUGUUUCCUUGUUAUGUGGUUAUUGUGUUUUUAUUAUUAACGAUUCGUUGCAUGUACAGAAAAUGUACAAUUAACAUAUUUAAAUAAAAAGGAGGUAACUGGUGGCCUUAUCGCUUUCGAGCGAUCUCUUCCAGGCAACCACUCUAAGAAAAAAAUAAAAAUUCAGACAACACUAAUGGAUUCAACAGGAAACAAGAAGGCAGGCAGAACAGUAAGCAGAAAGUUAGACAUACGAUAUAAACUACCAUACUGAAAUACCUGUACAGUAGAGAUUUAAAGGAAGAUAGAGAAGAAACUAAGCGGGAAGUGAGUUCCAUAGUCUAAUUGCUCUUAAAGGAUUCGCCGGAAGGAAGAGUUUUGUGAUGGGGGUUAUAGUUUUCGAAAGAGCGAAUGGGCUCCUAAAAAUGUUUAAUCGAGAUAGGAAGGAAUUUUAGGAUCUUUAAUUAGUCCUUUUCAGAUAGUUCAGAUUUAGGGGCGCCCUCAAUCAUACAUGGCACUUGAUACAGAAGUCACGAACGCUCGUUACAGUUUGGAGAGCCGCCAGAGGGCGUUUGACAAAUGUCCCGCAAAAUUAGCUUCAUCUAUUCUACGCUAAUUUAAGUGAUACUUUUAAUAAUCCUAUUUGUAUUAAUUUUUGGCAAUUUUCAUAAUGUUCCUUCAUAAGUUACGCGUCACCUAUUUCUCCAUCUACUUGAAUGAUUACCGGAUAUCGAAGUUCAUAUAACUUUUACACGCGCCUGUAGAACCUGCCUGCAUCCAUAGAAAUGGGCUAUAUCAUUGACUGCUAAAAAUAGAAGACUGAUUAGCGUUUAAAAUGUUUGAAACUAUGACGGUUCUAGUAAGGCAAUUACCGGGGAACCACCGAUUAUGGCUGGCAAGGGACCCCUACAUCCCAGCCUAUCGGAAACGCAGAGAGGAAGAUAUGUGACCGAGAAGCCAAGCAGCAGGGGAGUGUCGAAGUCUCCCCUUUCUUAGAAAGGGACAUUAUUAACUCGAAGGGUCUCUUCUCUGGUCCGGGCCCGGGCGACAACUACUCCGGAAAUGCCAUUAUUGAGAUAUAAACGUAUUAUCAGAAUUAACAAUUUUUGAACUGCAAACGAGCAGGAAGCUCAUCUGAUGUUAAGUGACACCGCCAAUGCCAGAGGGUUCGCGAGUGCGUUGCCGGCCUUAUAAGAAUUGGUGCGCUCUUUUCAUGAAGGAUCUUAAGUCGAAUUGAUUCGGAAAUACAUCAGUGGGCUGGCUAGUGAUGCACGGCAAAAACUGCCUUAAAGAUGUACUAGUGUGCCGAGUGUUGGCUAGAUAAAAUAAAAAUAUAAAGUAUUUAAUUUGCGAAUAUAAGGUUGAAUGGCUUUGCAUAAUUUAAGUACCAUUAAAAUUGU
This is a long non-coding RNA of Pieris brassicae (large cabbage white), 1611 nucleotides long. RefSeq lists it as uncharacterized. NCBI's taxonomy places the organism in Eukaryota, Metazoa, Arthropoda, Insecta, Lepidoptera, Pieridae. The record is from RefSeq and is a predicted model, not a curated record. The transcript is spliced from 4 exons.